GUCUAUGGUGAUGCCACCCUGAACAAGCCCCAUCCUGUCUGAUCUCGGAAGCUAAGCAGGGUCAGGCCUGGUUAGUACUUGGAUGGGAGACCACGUAGGAAGACCAGGUGCUGUAGGCA
This 119-nucleotide ribosomal RNA is filed under the name Pteropus alecto (black flying fox). Lineage: Eukaryota; Metazoa; Chordata; Mammalia; Chiroptera; Pteropodidae. The record is from RNAcentral.